RNAcentral lists this ribosomal RNA (492 nucleotides) under uncultured bacterium. Its description in RNAcentral is "partial 16S ribosomal RNA". It matches the Rfam family "Bacterial small subunit ribosomal RNA", at positions 29 to 507 of the family's 1533-position model. The record is from RNAcentral.
AGUGAACGCUGGCGGUAGGCCUAACACAUGCAAGUCGAACGGCAGCACAGUAAGAGCUUGCUCUUACGGGUGGCGAGUGGCGGACGGGUGAGGAAUACAUCGGAAUCUACUUUUUCGUGGGGGAUAACGUAGGGAAACUUACGCUAAUACCGCAUACGACCUACGGGUGAAAGCAGGGGAUCUUCAGACCUUGCGCGAUUGAAUGAGCCGAUGUCGGAUUAGCUAGUUGGCGGGGUAAAGGCCCACCAAGGCGACGAUCCGUAGCUGGUCUGAGGGGAUGAUCAGCCACACUGGAACUGAGACACGGUCCAGACUCCUACGGGAGGCAGCAGUGGGGAAUAUUGGACAAUGGGCGCAAGCCUGAUCCAGCCAUACCGCGUGGGUGAAGAAGGCCUUCGGGUUGUAAAGCCCUUUUGUUGGGAAAGAAAAGCAGCAGGUUAAUACCCCGCUGUUCUGACGGUACCCAAAGAAUAAGCACCGGCUAACUUCGUG